UAUUAUUUAUAUUCCAAUAAAUAUAAUUAAAGUGUUAGAUUUCAAAUAUUAAGGUUAAUAAAUAGUAGUUUGUAUACCGGCUUCAAAGAGAACAUAUUAUGAUGCCGGUCUUAAUCCCAAUCGUUCAGCAUAUGCCUCAGGAUCACAUAAUGGAAAUAGAAAAUGUAUAGUACAAUUCUAACUUCAUUUAAUGAAAUUGAGAGAAUCAUCCCGUUUGAUUCAAUGGUCAGUUUGGAAUAAAUCUAGAAAAUCCACUUCAUCGCGCAUUUUCAGAUUAUUGGGAAAAUGGCGGUGCCAGUAAAAGUCCAUUUUAACAAAAACGUUGGAGAAUUGCUUUCGCAAAACUAACCUUAACGAAUCCUAAUACGCAAAUUUGGCUAAUCAAUUCCAUUUAAUGUAUAAGUAGUUUUCAAGAUAACAUACUAAAGCAAAUUUUAUAUCUCAAUAUUGACAAACACUAACAAAUCGGAUUUUGGCUAAACGUGAGUAUUAAAUUGUUUUUUUUUUUAAUUUAUUUUGUUUUGAAGAUUACACAAGUUAUUUGUAUGGAAGAAAAUCGUUACUAUAUACCAGAUACUUAUAUUUUGGCGGUUCUUAAGACGGAUUUAUAAUUACAAAAUUAAUAAUUCUUCUUGAUACCUACAUAUACUAUUUUUAUUGUUUCUUUAAAAAUGUAUGUUAUAACUGAUUUUUUGUAACUUUUGUUUUCAUAUAAUGAUUUUAAAAUAUUUCUCGCUUUUUCUGGACAUUUCUUUGUUGCUAAUUCUCCACUGUCUCCAAUAUAAUUAUCUCAAUAAUUGUUAUUCUAAAUAGAUGAUAAUUGCAUAAUAAGCCAUAUUAAGCAAACAAUAAUCUUUUGAAUUACUCCAUUCAGAUAUACAAUUGGUUGUCAAUAUCUAUAGAGUAUACAUUUAUAGAUAUUCAUUCAAAAUCAAUCGACGUUUUUUCACUAAGUAAUUACGCACCAAUUAAUGACUGUAAUUUUUUGGUGAUGUAAGUGCAUGCAAAUAUACUUUUUUAUAAACAAAAUUAAUUUAAUUGCAGUAAACUGUUGUAUUGGUUUAAAGCAGACGCUCAAUAGAAUAACAACCACGCGCAAAUCCAAUUCAUUAUAGAGGCCCCAUAUAGUAAUAGGCAUAUAUGUAUAUGUAUUUUAUUAUGUGCGUGGAAUGACCUAGUACCCGUCCAUACCGUUAUUCACGCUUUUUUGUUAUGCUAAAUAGUUUCAUAUACAGUUAAGUGUGAUUGUUGUGAAAUAAGCAUUUCUUCAAAAUAACAUUCUCAGAUCUAUUUCAUAUUCUCUUCAGGUUUUGUCUUUCUAUGCACGAUUACGGAAUAUAGAUCUUAAUUUUGUUGAUUUAUUUUAUAAUUUGUUUGUUAUAUACCUCAUAUGUAUGCACUAUAAGCCUUCUAAUGCCUUCUGAUCUAUAUUCAUACCAGAUAAAAUGUAAAUAUGCACUGAUUUGCAAUUACUCAGAGCUGAACUUUUGCAUACUACUUUUAAUAUUGUUUAUUUUUAUGCACAAUUUACGCCUUCUAAAAAUUCCGAGUGCGUAGAUAAAUGCAUAUGUAUGUAAAAAUAAUUUACUCACUCUUUAGAUUUCAAUUAUAUGUGAAUCUGCUUUAGUUAUGUACAUUCUUGAUAACCCUUUCCCUAAGUUAGUCAUCCCAGCCUAGCGUUGGUGCGGGUCUCUAGAACGUACAUAUCCAAACAGGUUUUGAUCGCCGAACUAACAGCCUUUGGUCGGAUACAGUUCGGGUCUAUUCCGAUAUCGCAGAACCGGCUGUUGUGCGGGUCCCUCUUCAAUAUCACCUAUGUAUGAGUUCGUAGGAAGACUCCAAUUGUCAAAAAAAUACGGUUCUUGCUUCGGUAAAAAUUAGCUUCU
Zeugodacus cucurbitae (melon fly) is the source of this 1886-nucleotide long non-coding RNA. RefSeq lists it as uncharacterized. NCBI's taxonomy places the organism in Eukaryota, Metazoa, Arthropoda, Insecta, Diptera, Tephritidae. The transcript has 4 exons. The record is from RefSeq and is a predicted model, not a curated record.